CCAUUGUGAAUUGAAUUAGGGUCUGAAAAGCUCAGAUAUUGUGUGUUGUCAUCAGCUUCAUCUCUUAACUGCCCACGAGAUAGGAGUUAAAUAACAGCACUAAAUUU
Jatropha curcas is the source of this 107-nucleotide non-coding RNA. The record is from Rfam. Lineage: Eukaryota; Viridiplantae; Streptophyta; Magnoliopsida; Malpighiales; Euphorbiaceae.